AGUGCGCCCUUUCCCUCUUGACUUUUUAGCAGUUCUGGGUAAAUAUUGAUUUGCCCCCAGUUUACCUUCUCCCUCACUGGCCAUUUGGAGACUACGGAACCAGCCUCAAAGACUUAAUUUUUGUGUUGCUUUCCGGCCCUUUCGUCCCCCACCCCUUCCUCCCUCCAAGUGGCAUUGUAAAAUUCUCAGUAACAAAGAGACAAAGUAGGGUUCGGAGCUCUGGUUCCUGGGGACUUCAGGGCAGUUUUACAUACGGGUCAGACGCGGCUGGAGGCCAAGGUCAAGUUGAAAGUUGCAGUCUAAGUCAGCGUGAGAAAACUGCCCUGCAAACCUGGAGACCAAGGCAGCUUCCAGAGGCCCACUGCUCACCUCCCCUCA
Molecule: unclassified non-coding RNA, 378 nt
Organism: Dipodomys ordii (Ord's kangaroo rat)
Lineage: Eukaryota; Metazoa; Chordata; Mammalia; Rodentia; Heteromyidae
Product: predicted gene, 27985
Source: Ensembl